CGCUGGGGUUGCCGCAGGAAUGAGCUGAGGGCCCAGCGCUGCGCGUAGGAAACUUUAUUAGGGCUUGGGCUUUAGGACCACAGUGGACUGCCUGCAGGGAGCCACUUUAGUCCUGUGAUCAAGGACGCGGCUCUGUGUCCCCGCAGAGGGCAACUGUCCUGCAGCUUGGAUGUGGGGCAGGGGGUGUCUGCUGUGGUGCCACGGGGACAGAUGGGGACACGCUGGGCAGGAGGGGCUGCAGCCCCGCGCCGUGAGUGAGGUGUGGGGAUCUGGCAUGUGUCGGAGCCCUCCUCCCCACGAAGAGGUGUGAGCAGACCCUUGUGUUACCUGGCCCAGCCCACUCCACCACAGGACCUUUGCACGGUCCUGCCUCUCCCCGGCUGACUGUCCCCGAGGUCACUGCACUGUGGCUCUCUCCUUGGCUCUCUGCCACCAGGGGCAGCCUGGGUUCCUGAGCCCCUGGUCCCCAGGCCAGGCGAGGCUGGGAGUGCACCCCACACCCCCAGGUGUCCCCGCCUGCCCCAGACGCAGCACCCUGUCUUGCCAGCCCCUCUCCUUCCUCCCCAACCCCACUCCUGGUGCAGGGCUCGGGAGCCCCUCCACGGCCAGGUGGGUCUGUCCAUGAGUCCAGGCCCGAGGGUCCUCGCCAGGUGCCUGGGUGGCCUGGAGAGCAGGGGGUCUCACAGGGGCCCCAGCACCGCGGAGCGAGGACCUGGCUGGGUUUCCGGGCAGAGUUCGAUCUGUGGCCACCCUGGCAGGGUGUGAGCCUUCUGUGUGCAGUGGGGGAGCCGAGCUCCUGGCUGCUCCUCUUGUGCACCUCGCUAGGACCCUGGCCGGGAGGACCAGGAGCCAGGAGGGACAGGGAGGCCAGGCCGAGUCGGGGUCCGGGAGGCCGGGGCAAAAGGAUUGCAAGUUCAAGCCCAGCCUGGGCAAUUUAGCAGGUCAGUGAGACCCUAUCUUAAAGAAGAAAAAAAAACCCUUUUGUUUAUACGGGAAUCGAACUCAGGUCCUUGUGCUUUC
Molecule: long non-coding RNA, 1020 nt
Filed under: Heterocephalus glaber (naked mole-rat)
Lineage: Eukaryota; Metazoa; Chordata; Mammalia; Rodentia; Bathyergidae
Description: lncRNA (ENSHGLG00000036801.1)
Source: RNAcentral